GCCGGGUGUGGUGGCUCACACCUGUAAUCCCAGCACUUUGGGAGGCCGAGGCGGGUGGAUCACCUGAGGUCGGGAGUUCGAGACCAGCCUGACCAACAUGGAGAAACCCCGUCUCUA
Molecule: non-coding RNA, 117 nt
Filed under: Gorilla gorilla gorilla (western lowland gorilla)
Lineage: Eukaryota; Metazoa; Chordata; Mammalia; Primates; Hominidae
Source: Rfam by way of RNAcentral